RNAcentral lists this long non-coding RNA (2873 nucleotides) under Equus caballus (horse). Its description in RNAcentral is "lncRNA (ENSECAG00000039037.3)". Lineage: Eukaryota; Metazoa; Chordata; Mammalia; Perissodactyla; Equidae. The record is from RNAcentral.
ACGUGACUCACUUUCCCUUCCACCUAAGCCAUCACCUGGGGAGAAGUAGAAAAGCUUGGGCUGGGCUGCUGCAGAGACUGCUGGGAAGACAACUCCUGUGGAAAGCGAAUGGCUGGUGCUGCCUUUCUGGAAGCUGUGGUUCCCAGCCUAAGCUUUCUUACUACGCUGCUCUCCAGCUCUGCCCUCCGAAUUGGAGACUUAAGGACAACAGAGCUCUGAAGAUGAUGUGCUGCUAUGACGCCUAGGGAAACAGAGUUUUACAACAAACUAGAACUGUAGGAGUGACUCCAAUGUUCAAGGAAAUUAACAGGACUCCAGGAGGGAUGCCUGGGAACCUCCAAUUUAUAGCCAGAAGGUCAGAAGAACAGGGGACACCCUGGACUUGUGGAGCUUACACUCUUGAAGAGGGUGGCAAGCACGGUAAUGAAGAAGUCUGUAUGAGCAGAGAGACAAAGUUUGAGUUUCGAAAGCAUUUUGGAGAAACAACUUUGAGAGUGUUGUUUUCUCCUUUCCUUCUGAAUGAGAAGAAAGACUAUAUCCAAAACAGCAGCCAGAGGACGGGGUGAAUCUUGAAGCCACUCCCUCCACCUCACACUCAUUCUUGUGUCUAGUUGUUUAUAGCAUCUGUUUGCACUUCAAAUUUGACUAUCUGUUGUCAACUUCAGCUCCACAUGAGGAAGAUAGAUUCCCCUUAAAAUUUUUCCUUACUUUUUCCUACUUGUGUAACAUCCGACUAACUGGAUAAAAAGGUCAUUUUGCUGACAGCUCAAGUAAGGACAUAAAAUGAUUUUCAGUGCAUUUCUCUUUUGAUCGACAUUUAUAUUUGGUUGUAAUAUCUUGCUGCUUCUUCAUAUAGUUCCGCCAGGCACUCUCCCUGUGUCACCUUCAGGACUGUCCUAGGUGUCAUUUCUUCUAGAACUCCUUCUGGAACUGUCACUGCACAGGAUAUUCUUUCAAUACUUUUCUUCUCAUCCACGGAGCCUCUGCCCUGGCAAUCUAUCCUCAUCUCCAUGGUCAAAGGCGUUUUAGCACAUACCACACCCACUCCCAGCCCCUGGAAAUUUAUAUCCGUCUUCCCUUCCCACCAUACAUCAAGUCCCAGGUCCUUAUUUUAUACAUCAAAAUACUCCUGCUAAGUAAUAUGUAUUUCUUCUUCUUUUUCUAUUUUUAAAUCCAAUUUUCUGAACUUAUUCCCUGGAAGCCUAAUGUCAGUUUGUCUUUACUCCCAUCUUUGAGUUUUUUCCCCUUUCAAAGCAAUGCCUGAAAUUAUUUUCCUCUAAUGGCUGCCAAAAUCUCUGACUUUCUCUCUCUCUCUCUCCUUAAAUAGUGUCUAACUAUAUUUCACUUAUUUCAGAAAAUCUUUCUGGAUUGAUCAUUAAGGAGUUAACAAUGUUGCUUAGUUUAUUAUGCGUGUGGCUAUUUCUCCCAUUUUCCCCCUUUCUUUAGAUUUACCUUCUUGAUAAAUGUUAUGCUUUAUUUUGAUAUAGUGUACUUUUAUCAUUGUCUUUCAUAUGGUGGCCACACAUUUUCACUCUCCUCCUGAUACACAUAUAUCAGUAAGAAUUCUUGGUUUUAAGCAACAGAAAACACUUCCGAAUUAAGUCCAAAGUGAAAUUUUUGAUGGAUAUGGAGUAACUCUCAGAACCAACAACAAAAUUCUGGCUGGAGAUAGUGACAGAUACCAACAGAGGUAGGACAGCAGAAGAUAUGGCCACAUUCACAGCCGAAUAAAAGUUUGGUCAGAAUAUUUGCAUAGUCAUAGAAGGAUCUAGCAACCGGACUCUCCCUGACUCCACUGUGAAUUACUUCUAAAUUUUGCCCAAAUCUUCAGCUCCCCACCAAGAUUCCUAAUGUGAACACCAAUUAUCUGAGCAUAUGUUAGGUAUAAUCAAAUAGAACUUCAAUUGCACAAGGGUAAGGAGAAGCACCAUCAGACUCCUUGGCUUUCUGUUUUGGAAUUCAGAACACUGCCUCCUACGCACAGUGAUGGAGGAUUCCUCCUAAAUUGCAAGAAUGCUCAAAUAUUGGUGGUUAAAAAUCCACUGUUAAAGGGAUAUACACAUUACAGUAGCUUUCCACCUUUUGGUCACUACUUUAGAUUAUAGCCUAGGAAAUAGGAAACAUAUCUGUAUUAUUCUUAUAUGCUAUCAUCCCAGUUUUUAGGCAUGAUUUUAUGCUUUUGGACAAUGCUAUUAACAUGAUUCUUGCUUCAGUAUGAAUGCCUUUUUUAUAAGGUAAGAGUAAAUUUUCCUCUGUGAUUUAGCAUUUAACAGUGUUAUAUGUGCUAAAAUAAUAAAAUAAUUUUGCCUUGUUUUAAGUAGCAUGUGUGUAUGCUGAAAAUAUCUUUGGCUUCAAACAUUUGUCUUACCUUUGGUGUCUGAUUGAUUAGAAGCUCAAAACAAAACUUGUAAGUUUAUGUGUCUUGUAUAUUAACUUAAUUACCUGGUUCUAAUGUGCAAUCUGCUAGAUUUUAUUGGCAAGGUUUAUCACAACUUCUAAUGAGUCACAUCUUGCACCAAGCCACACUUCAAAAAGAAAGGAACCACAUAAUUAAAUCAGGUUUACUCCACUUAAACACAUUACACUGAUUAGAUGCUUUGGUUUAAUUUGCUGCGAAAAGAUAGGAAGUUUUAAAUUGUAUUAGUUAUUUCCAUUGUGCUUUACAUCUAUUUGAAGUAUGAAUCUAUUCGGGCUACGGAAGAGGAACUUAGCAUGUCUUUUCAGCAAAAUACAUGAAAAUUUUCAUCAGAUGGAAAUUGAGUGCAUAUAUGUGUGUAUGUGCAUUCUUAAACCCUGGGAUUAUUGAACCCUCAGAUAUUUAAUUCAAAAUAUUGUAUGUAUACCUCUAUGUUCAUUAGAUUCUCAAAGAGACU